UAGGCUUUUGAAAAAGCGAGACGCGUCUAGGAGGGAGGCACCAGGGAACUUCCCUCCCUCACUUGAGCACAGUCCAAGACGAAAGUUUCUGGGUUGUUUCCCCUUCGCUUCCUCUCGCCCUGGCUCCCCCGCGGAGCCGCAGCACCAGCAAUUGUGCAAGAGGAGCCGGGAGCACGGCGCGCAUCGCUGAGCGCCCGGGACGAGCCGCGCCGGUGAUUAAUUAUCAGUGCCCGCCGGCCUCGACUCUCACGCCGACUCACAGGCGGAAUCGGAGCGCCGAGCUGCCUCCGGCACGGCCGCACGGAGGAGCGGCUCUGGGGAGGACCACCGCGGCUGCUGGAGAGAGCCCUUGGGGAAACCAUGAAGUUACCCUGCACAUUCCAGUAACACAGUUAUGACAAAACAAAGCCUAUGAAGUGAUCACAUUUUAAAAAAAUAUUUACAAAAAAACUCAAAAAUGCACAUAACAAAGGCUUCUCAAAAAAAAAAAAAAAAAAAAGGAAGAAGAAGAAGAAGGAGAAGAAGAAAAAGAAAGUAACUUACCUGUUGGGACAUUCUGAAUAAGAGAAACUGUGGACUGAGAAGCCUGCAGCUCCAGCAAAAAUGUCAUAAUAAUAGUUUCAGUUUCUGUCAGGAAGGAAGAUUGAGAUUCCUAGACACCCAAGAAAAUCAUGUUUCAGGGUAGGGCUUAAUACCUUACACAAUUAUUUAAAAAUACAACACUGUCUUUAAAUUUAUCACAGAUAAAAGGAUGCCUAUAGAUACUUCAAAAAUAAAUAUAAAAAUGAAAUGUCAA
Cavia porcellus (domestic guinea pig) is the source of this 796-nucleotide long non-coding RNA. RefSeq lists it as uncharacterized. The transcript has 3 exons. The record is from RefSeq and is a predicted model, not a curated record. NCBI's taxonomy places the organism in Eukaryota, Metazoa, Chordata, Mammalia, Rodentia, Caviidae.